UCUGCACCAGAUUUGCAAACCACAAUAAUUCUCUUUUCUUUAUAGUAUACCCAAUCUGUGGUAUCAUACUGUUAACAACAGGAAGUAGACUAGCACAGUUGCCAAGCCAACUGGGGGUCACAGAGGGGACAUCAUCACAAGAGCAAAGCGUCUCUCCAGCCAAAGCAAUGGGGCCGCAGGGCAUGGGGAAGUCGACAGCCAACCCAGGGACCUGACAGCAAGUGAACACGUCUACAGCACCUGAGUGCUGAUUGGAAUGAUUACUACAGCCACAUCUUAACUGCUUCCUACGGGUCUGCAGGGGGACCUUACACUUCAUUGGUCCUGCUGGAAUGUGCUCCUGACCACUAGAGCUGCCCACUGUGAAUGCAGUUGUGCCACCAAGUGACUUGAGAGUCAGCACUGCCACAUGUGGGUUCAGACUGAGCACCUCGAGAGUGACAGCUGGCCAGCCGCCCAGCUCAGUCUGCAGACUGGAGGUCUCCUGGACACCCCACAGUGUUGUUCAGAGGAUCGAUAGUAAAGUCCCAAACACAAAGGCACAUGUGAGCAACUCCAGGUGGUGGCAGCAACAGAACUCAGCCAGAGUGUGGUGUGCGGAGCUGAGGAACCAUGUGUGGGGUUGGCUCUGCAUGCUGAGCUGAAGACCAGAGCAGAGAUGCGUGAAUCCUGGAGGUCACCUGCUGCACGCCCUUCCCAGCUCGUGGCCAGUGGGGCCACUCGGGGGACCUCUUCCGUGUGGCGCAUUGCAGCUUAGAAGCAAGAAAAAAGCUCACAGAGGUCAGGAGGGCCUGGUAACAAGUAGGAGCUGGAAAAUGGAACCAGAAAAGCUGAGAGAUUUUCACGUGAGGAGAGUCACCGAGAGCUGACAGUGGGGCCUUUCAAAAUACAGCUCUGGCUUACUGUAGCAACCUGGCAAAUCG
Chinchilla lanigera (long-tailed chinchilla) is the source of this 923-nucleotide long non-coding RNA. RefSeq lists it as uncharacterized. NCBI's taxonomy places the organism in Eukaryota, Metazoa, Chordata, Mammalia, Rodentia, Chinchillidae. The record is from RefSeq and is a predicted model, not a curated record. The transcript is spliced from 3 exons.